GUGGGGAAUAUUGCACAAUGGGCGGAAGCCUGAUGCAGCGACGCCGCGUGAGGGAUGACGGCCUUCGGGUUGUAAACCUCUUUCAGCAGGGACGAAGCGUAAGUGACGGUACCUGCAGAAGAAGCACCGGCUAACUAUGUGCCAGCAGCCGCGGUAAUACGUAGGGUGCGAGCGUUGUCCGGAAUUACUGGGCGUAAAGAGCUCGUAGGCGGUUUGUCACGUCGUCUGUGAAAUCCUAGGGCUUAACCCUGGACGUGCAGGCGAUACGGGCUGACUUGAGUACUACAGGGGAGACUGGAAUUUCUGGUGUAGCGGUGGAAUGCACAGAUAUCAGGAAGAACACCGAUGGCGAAGGCAGGUCUCUGGGUAGUAACUGACGCUGAGGAGCGAAAGCAUGGGUAGCGA
Molecule: ribosomal RNA, 405 nt
Filed under: uncultured Corynebacterium sp.
Lineage: Bacteria; Bacillati; Actinomycetota; Actinomycetes; Mycobacteriales; Corynebacteriaceae
Description: bacterial SSU rRNA
Rfam family: Bacterial small subunit ribosomal RNA
Source: RNAcentral